AUGCCUGUCAAUCAUAUUGUGGGAGACGCGACCUCGGUGACGAUCCACCAGAUUCCGGCUUUCUCCGGAACUCCCGACCAGAAGGUGACCCUGAAUUGCAGAAUCGAGGGUAGUACCAGUGCUGGUAAUCAGUUGUACUGGUACCGACAAUCCCCGGGAAAGGGGCCGGAGAACAUGUUUUACUCAGCGACAGAAAGGAAUGUCCGUCCAGAGGGACUGGUCGACGGUUUUACGGCGGAGAGACCGCAGACUACCGAGUUCUUCCUGAAGUCCGACAAACUGGAGGCGGAUUCGUCGGCCGUGUAUUUCUGCGCCUGGAGUAUUCACGGCGGCUCAGAGUGA
This is a non-coding RNA of Hypanus sabinus (Atlantic stingray), 342 nucleotides long. Lineage: Eukaryota; Metazoa; Chordata; Chondrichthyes; Myliobatiformes; Dasyatidae. The record is from the annotation of a RefSeq genome assembly.